GGCCAAAAAUAACCCUAAACCCUAAACCUGGUCAGGGCAACCGGUUUCUGCAUGUUACACUUGGUUGCUGCAGUUUGUGAGAAAGAGGAUCCAUUUCCAGCGCUGUUUGAAGAUUCGUCGUUGCGAACCUUGAUGGGUUUGCUGAUAUUUUGAAGUUGGAUACAGUGGCUUUGCUGUCAUCACUGACGAGUUCAUCGUCCAGGAUUGCGACAGGAAUUGUAGCACAGGAAUUGCAUCCCAUACUUCGUAGAUCAGUGAAUAUUGCCCUGCGUCCGUCCUGCAUUAUCUCAUCGAGAGGCUCACCGAAGGUGGGGUCUGUUGAGUAGUUUUGUGCGGAUGUAUUGGCACUUGUUUAACUUUGUGCGCAGCGUUGCCAUUGUUUCUGUCUUCGAUUUUUUUGGAAUAUCUUGGAAGGGUGAAUUCGAGAACGAUUCUUGUCGAGUUCCGGCGUUCCGGUAGAGAGUCCUAGUUGAGAACUUUGAGAUCUUUGGGUGUGAAGAGGGUCAUGGCGUCUGGUUCUUAUGGUGUGGCGAUGAUGGAGAAGAUCGAAGAAUUGACUGCAGCAGUUGGAAGUGCCGAGAUUCCCUCCGCUGUGUCUCAGGGGAGCAGAUCUCAGCCCACCCGAGGGACGGCUUCCAAGUACGAUUUCGUCAAAGUGAAGGUGUGGUUGGGGGCCAACGCAGAUCACUACUACAUUUUGUCUCGAUUUUUGAUCAGUCGCAUGCUGCUGGUUACCAAGAUUCCAAACCACGCCGCCAUCAAAAUUUCUCUUGAGCUGAAGAAGCUGCUCAUCGACAAUAGCUUGCUCGAUGUGUUUGUCUUGUUUGACUCAAGGCUGUCUUUCCGAGUUGUUUCUAAAGAAGCAUGUUGCUGGAUACAGCUGAUGGAGCGACGUGGCUAUGGCGCAGAAUACAUCGAGCGCUACAAAAUGAUGACCAGGUUCCAUCACCAACGAACGCCACUGAUUAUUAUUGUGUGUGGUACUGCGUGUGUUGGAAAGUCCACCCUCGCCACUCAACUUGCCCAGCGCCUCAAUUUACCGAACGUUUUGCAGACAGACAUGGUCUACGAGUUACUGCGCACAUCGACAGAUUCCUUGAACAUCGCUCCACUUUCAUCAACUCCUCUCUGGGCUCGAGAUUUCGCAUCUUCAGAGGAGCUUAUUAGAGAGUUUUGUCGUGAAUGUCGUAUCGUUCGCAAAGGACUCGAUGGUGAUCUGAAGAAGGCAAUGAAAGAUGGGAAGCCAGUCAUUAUCGAGGGUCUUCAUUUGGAUCCAUCCAUCUAUCUUAUGAAUGAAGAAAGUGGGGGGUUUGGAAGUGGUGUUGUGCAAAUGAAGGCUUUACCUUCCGCGGCGGAUACAGUGACCGUUGCUGGAAUCGAAAAAGAUGGAGCAACCAGUGACGCUGUGAUGAAUAAAGAAAUAUCAAAAGAACCAAUCAAGUGGACGCCACCUAAGUGCAUUUUUGUUCCCAUCGUGCUUAAAAUGGCUGAUGUAGAUCACCGGGUAUUUGACAUGGCAACUAGAUUGAGAUUUAACCCUUCCAACAACCUUGCUGGAGGAAUGGAUUUCUGCACGUGCAGCAGAUACCGAAACCAGUGUUUCAAAAGAGGACAAAGAGGCUCUGAUUAAAAGGCUUCAAACCAUUGAGGACUAUCUAACAUCGUUUGAAUCACAGGGACUGACUGUUGUGAACUUAUCUGCCACAACUUUCCCACAAACACUUGAUUGGAUGCACAGCUAUCUCUUAGAGUGUAUUAAGCAAGGAUCUACCCAACCUUGUUCACGAGCUGGUUCUUAAUCCAAGUGCUAAAUGUACUUUCCACACUUUCACAUGUAUAUAUGGUCAGCCAGCACAUCACUUUGAAGCACUUAGAGACUGUCCUCAAAACGCGAGGUUUAUGACAGGGAUGAUUAUAGCAUAACAAAAACUAACUGUUUUAUCCAACCAAGAGUAAAUAUCUCAUAAAUAGCAAAGAUGCCCAUACUUAAUCUUUUUUAUGCAAGCAAUUGAGUGAGUCAACCUUAGACAACUUUGUUUUCUUUUCA
This is a non-coding RNA of Physcomitrium patens, 2047 nucleotides long. The record is from RefSeq and is a predicted model, not a curated record. Lineage: Eukaryota; Viridiplantae; Streptophyta; Bryopsida; Funariales; Funariaceae.